GGAUUCCCCUAGUAACUGCGAGUGAAGAGGGAAAAGCUCAAAUUUAAAAUCUGGCAGCUUCGCUGUCCGAGUUGUAAUUUAGAGAAGUGUUACCCGUACUGGACCGUGUACAAGUCUCCUGGAACGGAGCGUCAUAGAGGGUGAGAAUCCCGUCUUUGACACGGACUCCCAGUGCAUUGUGGUACGCUCUCAAAGAGUCGUGUUGUUUGGGAAUGCAGCACUAAAUGGGUGGUAAAUUCCAUCUAAAGCUAAAUAUUGGCGAGAGACCGAUAGCAAACAAGUACCGUGAGGGAAAGAUGAAAAGAACUUUGGAAAGAGAGUUAAACAGUACGUGAAAUUGUUGAAAGGGAAACGCUUAAAGUCCAGUCGCGUUGGUUGGAAAUCAGUCUUGCUUCUGCUUGAUGUACUUUCUAACUGACGGGUCAGCAUCAGUUUUGACCGUUGGAUAAAGGUUGGAGGAAUGUGGCAUCUUCGGGUGUGUUAUAGCCUUCAAUUGUAUACAACGGUUGGGACUGAGGAACUCAGCACGCCGCAAGGCCGGGUCUUGUACCACGUUCGUGCUUAGGAUGCUGGCAUAAUGGCUUUAAUCGACCCGUCUUGA
Molecule: ribosomal RNA, 601 nt
Filed under: Strobilurus esculentus
Lineage: Eukaryota; Fungi; Basidiomycota; Agaricomycetes; Agaricales; Physalacriaceae
Description: eukaryotic LSU rRNA
Rfam family: Eukaryotic large subunit ribosomal RNA
Source: RNAcentral